UUGAGGUGAGAGAUAGAGAAAGUAUGUCAGGUUGAAUCAAAGGAACGACGUUAGUUCAAGUGGUACAUGUUUAAUUCCGUUUGAUUCCCCUUAAACAAUGUUUCAGGUUUGAGUCUUGUGCAUGAGAAAAUGUCUGCUGGGAGAGUUAGCCUCACCUACCUAUAAAUGUUCCUGGCUAUGGAUAAGAUUGCUUCCAAUGCGAUGAUACCUAUAAGAAACCCAAAAAAAAAAGGAAACACCUCUUGCAAUGCGAAGGCGCUUCAGGAAAUCGUCUAUUAAUAGAAGAUCUGAGGUGGAUGAUUAAAUCAAAUAUAUGUUUGAAUUUGAGAUUUAGAGCUCUUAAGGUUUAGCAUAAGUUGUUCAUCGAAACUUCAAAAGUUUAGUGUUUU
RNAcentral lists this long non-coding RNA (389 nucleotides) under Lupinus angustifolius (narrow-leaved blue lupine). Its description in RNAcentral is "long non-coding RNA (LANG_LNC000652)". Lineage: Eukaryota; Viridiplantae; Streptophyta; Magnoliopsida; Fabales; Fabaceae. The record is from RNAcentral.